Molecule: long non-coding RNA, 342 nt
Organism: Sciurus carolinensis (gray squirrel)
Lineage: Eukaryota; Metazoa; Chordata; Mammalia; Rodentia; Sciuridae
Exons: 3
Source: RefSeq, a predicted model, not a curated record
GAUGGGCAUGUUGCUGUCUCAGCUCUAUUCAGUCUGACCCUCACUGCUCUGAAUAAACCUGAUCUUCCAAGAGAUUUGCCUUGCUCUGCAAAAACCAAGAUUCAUGUUCAGUUUACUGAAGAUUUGCAGAAAGAGAAAGUUAAUGGGAAUUUCUUCUGUCCUGGAAAGUAAACAACUUGUUAAUGAAGGAAGCAGACUACUGUAUGCACCCAGAGUCCAGGACUUGUGCUGGCCAUCCCAGAGCUUUGUCCUAAGAUUAGACGCAAUUGGAUUUCCUUCAUGAAGGAAAUCAACAUAUUCUUAGUAGGAAUUGCAAAUCCUGGCCUCUUUUCCUUCUUAACA